Molecule: non-coding RNA, 671 nt
Organism: Physcomitrium patens
Lineage: Eukaryota; Viridiplantae; Streptophyta; Bryopsida; Funariales; Funariaceae
Source: RefSeq, a predicted model, not a curated record
CGUGAAUUAAAUUUCAUUCAUUGUAGAAGUUCAUCCAUUUUAGAACAAAUAUUUAUGAGAAAUUUAGGGUUUCAAUCUCUUUUUUGGAGUGACAAUGUUGGGGAAUUUUCUUGUAGUUCUUCCACUAUUUCUUCAAGUUUGAAAAGGAUUGUGGAGGUGUAGCCCCGUUGUGGUCAGCUAUCCAUACAUGCACUGAUGCGGGCUAGAGCGGAGGCACAAAGGUGUUCGUCACUCCAGAGGUUGGCCAUCAAUACAAGCGCUACGGUUUUGCUGCAAGCUCUGCAGCAAGCAUGGCUGCAAGCUCCGUCAUAGGUGCUGUGGUGGGCUUCUCAGCUAGCCCAGUGGCAGAAUACAAUUUACUACAGCAAGCUUGACUACAAUAGCCUAGACUACACCAAGCUUGGUUGUAGCAGGUUGGAUAGAUAGGAUUUGUAUUUUGAAAUGUCAUGGAUUUGGAGUAAGUUUGCUUAUUAGAUUUUCUACUCCAUGAUGUAUUAAAAAAUGAAGGUUGUGGAAUUUCUUGUUGUUUUGAAUAGACCAACAAGGCUUGAAUGGUAGUAGAAUAGUUAGCUUGUUUUGGAAUUAAAGAAAUUGGAUACAUGCUGAGUUGAAAUAGGCAUUGGAAAUGUUUCUCUUUGAAAAGAGAUUUUGUGAAUAUAUCUAUUGUCAUA